This is a long non-coding RNA of Octopus sinensis (East Asian common octopus), 98 nucleotides long. RefSeq lists it as uncharacterized. The record is from RefSeq and is a predicted model, not a curated record. NCBI's taxonomy places the organism in Eukaryota, Metazoa, Mollusca, Cephalopoda, Octopoda, Octopodidae. The transcript is spliced from 3 exons.
AUGCCUGGAAAACAGGAUUGUCAGUUGAUGCAAGGUCUGGAGAAUAUGGUGGAUGACAGAGUACUUCCAUGUUCAGUUCCUGUGAAUUUUUGGACUAU